Long non-coding RNA from Amphiprion ocellaris (clown anemonefish), 2064 nucleotides. The record is from Ensembl. Lineage: Eukaryota; Metazoa; Chordata; Actinopteri; Pomacentridae.
CAAAAUCUCUACAGGGAACGCUAAUAAAUCAUUUGUUAGCAGACAUCAAUAUCAUAUCCAGCGUUACAGCAUUAUGAUUCAGGACCAUGUGAAAGCAAAUCCAUUUUUAAAAGAAUAUAAAAAUAAAAUCAAACAAGAUGGAAAACCCUUUUGUACAGAGUCCUAUAGAGGCCAGCUGAAAAUGUGUGCAAUCUGUAGCAUCGGGUGCUUUUUGAUAAAACCAGAGACUCAGCUCUAAUCUUCUUGGCUAAAAUACAUUCAGGACGUGUUUUUUUUCUGUCUUAAAAGAACCAUAGUGGAGUCAAAAUUGAAGAAAUGUCUUCUUAACAAGUGCCUACUAUUGACAAACACACUGGGCAAGUUAAAGCGUGGCAUCUCAUCUGCUUACAUUCAAAAAACAUCACUAAAAACCACAAGAAUAUUGUUUCCAUAGAUCAGAUUACGAUAUAAAGAAAUAAAAUCCCCUCAGCUGAGUGAAAUAAAUAAAUUUAAAUGGAUUUUAGCGUAUUUUCAGAUUGGACUGGAUGUUUUAACUUGCCAAGAGUGCCUUAAUAAGAGAAAAAGAAGAGAUUUAGCAAUCAUGUUAUGAAUUCACUGUGCAAAUAGGUAACAGCUAAAAGAAAGGAGAUAUAAUUCACGUGCUUCGCUGUGAAGUUGUGGAAUAAAAAUAUAACCCAAAUGAGGCAGAAGCAGAAGACAACACUCCGUUUCAUUUCAGAUAUACAUAUCCAUGCCAUUUACGAAUCAGGAAAAAAAACAAAGAUUAUUUUCAUCUUCACCUUAAACAGUUUGGGUUAUAUACAAUAAUAAGGGACAUUGUACAAAAAGAAAUGCUCAAGUACUAUGUUGUAAGCUUCAAACAUGAUCUUUUUUUUUGCCUCCCAUCAUUUAUUUCAGCACUGAGGUUUUGCCUUGGACACAUGGAAGUGCAUACACGAGUUUGAUCCAGAUACAAUCACUCACUUGAUAAAGGACGUUUGGACAUAUUAAAAGAAUACUCAUCGGACAUUCAAGAGGACACGUUAUCACUUUUUUCUUUAACAAAAAUAGACGUGGCUUAUCCAGCCUUGAAAUUCCUUCUCAAUAUAUAUAAAAUUAUGUCUCGUCUAUGUACAGUCAGAUAGCGUUCUGGAGGAUUAGAAAGGUCCUGCUCCAUUGCUGCUGGGGAGUGUGGGUAGUGCAGUUUUAGUGUCAACCUAUUUGAAGGCAGACAAUCGUUAUCUGUUGUGUGGUUCUACAGGGCGGAUUGUUCAGGGAGGGUUGAUUUAAUUUCUAUUCUGUUACUUUGUGCUCCAGGCAAGUCCCGCCAGCAUAACUGAUCAAAGUGUCGACAGACGACUGAGCUGAAAAUGAUUGUAAUUAGCCGAUAAUGAUUGUGUGUUGACAAGCGGGCGCAGGGUUGGAGCCAGAAGUAUGACUAGAUGUACAAUACGUGACCUGCUACACAUCUGCCCUGAUCUAUAGCUACUGUGGACAGAGCUGAGUGUGGAAAGGAGCCAGUAGUGUUAAUGCUAUUCUGAAUGAACCUCUGCCACUGGUGACUUUGUAAUCAUCUAGGCAUGACUCGCAAGAUACAGUUGCUACGGCUGUGCUUAUCUAGUGUCAUCACUGCUGUCCGGAGUUAAGUGAAGCCAGCAAAAACCAACCAAGUCAAGUCAUAACUUGAGCUCUCGUAUCUCAGAUUUUCUUUGUAUAAGAACAAAUCAUAACUAACUACUAAUCCCUUCUCAGAGGAGAGAAUACAUGGUCAGAUACACUGGGAAAAAAACCCUGCUCAAGUUGUUAAUAUGGCAUUUUGCUGACCUUUAUUGAAAAAGAUAACUUUAUUCUAAUGACAUCUCUUUAUUUUUCUAGUUUCUCUAUGUUCUGACAGCUACAGAUGUUUCCCUCUGUGGGUUUUUCAGUUUGGAUUUCAGGCAAAACAGAUGUGUGGCAGUGUUUCAUCAUGAGUUGGUGACAUUCUCACUGGUUCUCUGCUCCUUCAUUUCUCAUUCCAAAGAUGACUUUGUCCAUAAUGGGUAUGUGGCUCUGUGGCUCCUCAAACUGAUGAUUGGUCCCACACCU